AGGGCCGAGAGAAGGCGUGGUUAUUGUGCCGAUGGACGAUUCAGACGGUCUCCUCUCGUGACCAUCGGGAAGUGCCGGAGGACCCGCUUGGUGCGAGUGGGAUCGCGCUCCGGCUGGAGAGGCCCGUGGUCGCUGUGGGCGCACGCCCUGCCCCGCCCCCUCUCCGGCACGCAGGCUCCGCUCGAGCUUGCGCACGCGCGCGCGCUCCCGUUCAAGCCUCAGUCUGACCAGCGGCGGCCCGGCGGGUGGAGGCUGGGCCCCUGAGGUACGAGGGGAGGGGCCGGAGCUGCUGCAGCUGCCGCCGCCACCGCCCCGCCGCCGCCGCCGCCGCUGCUGCUGGAGAGAAGCAUGUCUGCAACUCGAGCCAAGAAAGUGAAGAUGGCCACCAAAUCGUGCCCCGAGUGCGACCAACAGGUUCCUGUUGCAUGUAAAUCUUGUCCCUGUGGUUAUGUAUUUAUUAAUAGGAAACUUCUAAAAGUAAAACAGAGAAAUCAUCACCUUUUACAGAAGUGAACAGUACCAUAUCUUUGAAAGCUUUGAGAAUACUAUUUUUAUAUGAAUUUAAACUAGGACAUAGUGCAGCCACAGCAAGUAGAAACAUCAAUUCUGUAUUUGGAAAAGGCUCUGUUAGUGAAAGGACUAUCCGGUGGUGGUUUGAAAAAUUUCGUUCUGGGGAUCUGAGUCUGAAAAAUGAGCCUCGAGGGAGACCCAGAUCUGUUUUAAAUGAAGAUCAGUUGAGAGCCAUGGUGGAAGCUAACCCCAAAACAGCAAUUCGAGGCCUUGCAGCAGACUUAGGGGUUUCUGCUACAACAAUUUCUCGACACCUGGCUGCAAUAGGAAAGGUGAAAAAGUUGGACAAGUGGGUAGGUAACACCAACUGAUGGAUAAUCAUAAACUGAGAUGUUUAGAGAUGUGCUUAUAUACCUGAAGAUUUGAAAGAGCAGAGACCUAUUUUGGAGAAUAUCAUAAGCUUUGACAAAAAAUGAAAGUGGUCUGGACAAUGGUUGGAUGUUGAAGAAGUUCCCAAACGUGUUAAAACCAUCAUUGCAACCAAAAAGAAGGUUCUGGUAACUGUAUGGUGGUCUGCAAAGAGAGUAUUUCAUUACUUUUAACUCAGGCAAAACUAACAGUAGCAUCUUAUUGUCAAGAAGUUGAAAUUAUGUAUCAAAAAUUGAUCUAAAAGCACUCUGCAUUGGUUAGCAGACAUGGAUGGACAUACACUUUUCCAUGACAACAUUUGAUCACUGAAAUCCCAGACCACCAUAGGGAAUGACUGCAUUGGGCCAAGAACUUUUGCCAUAUCCAUCACACCUAUCUGACCUUUUUUCAACAGAUUACCACUCUGUCAUCAUUUGGAACUCUAAGAAACAGAACAUUCUCUAAUAGACAACAGUAAUUGAAGGAUUUGAAUAAAUUUUAACAAUGCUGAAUUUUAUAAAUAUAUAGUAUUUGGAGAAAUUUAUCAUUGGGGGAAAGCAGUUAAUGCUAACAGUGCAUAUUUUGGUUGAAUAAAACUUUUCUUUUCCUGAAAAAUACAACAUUUUCAUUUUUAUAUAAAGGCAGUUUCAUAGAGCUCAACCUAGUACCUUCCCAGAUCCUGGCAGAACAUGAAGACUGAAAGAUACGUAAUGUACUGGAAAACUACAAGCUGCCCCUGAGUUUUGGGCUUCUUCAUUGGAGGAAUGUGGAACAACCCAGAGUAUAGGUAUGUGUGAAGGAUGCUUAGGACUCAGCCAUGCAAAAAUCUGGGUAAAGAGGGUUUUAGGGAGAUGAGCAACCUCGUCAAAAGCUCUCAGAAAAUAUUUUUUGAAUAAAGAAAUGAAAGCAUGUUUCUAACACAAAAGCCGUGCACAUGGUAGACAUGCAUGGCACAGUGGUGUUUUUGAGUGAUAAUACUUAUUCUGUCACACAAAGCCAGUCCCUUCUUUCGUGUGUUUUCCACUCUGAUUCUUUAAGAAAAAUGUAAGUGGCCUAUCAGAUCAUAAUUAAUGGCCUCUUUAUGAUUGUGUAGCUAGAUUGCAGUUACUCCUUCUGGCAUCCAGGGAUAAAGUUGGGGUAAAGAUACUGGGAUGGUCCUCUUCCUGCCUCUCUCCCUCCUGGUGAUCUGCUGUGUCUCAUCUGUGAAGGAGAAUUAAGGAAUCCUAAAAGCUAAGAGGUGAGAGAAGGACAUCUGGAAUGGAUCUUACCUGGAGAGAGACAGACAGAGGGAAGGAGGGAAGGCGAGGAAUGGAGGGAAAGAUGGAAUGGAAAUCCCCUAAAGUAGAAUUUGACUAUGAGCCAAAGAUUUAAAGACCAUGGGAUGCAUUACUGCAAAUUAAAAAAAAAAAAAAGUCCCUUCCUUUGAGUAGAAGCAACCCAGUACUAUGACACAAGAUUUGUAAGUAGAGUGUCUUUCAGUUCUAAUUUACUCCCCUGGCUGGGUGCCCUGGUCUGGAGUCACCUCAUUUUACUGCUCCAUCCUUGGGUUGUCACGGAAUCUAUUCAGUGUUUUUGUGGACUCCUGCUUACUCUAAAGAGUGAAGCCUGAGAUUUAGCUCAGACUGAUAGGGUAACAAGGCCAAAACCAGAAGUGUGGGAAGGACUUUAUAUGAAAGGCAGCAAGCACAAGGGUGAAGUCAAAUGGUCACAGAGGACCAAUGUGAAAGAAAGUGGUAUUGUAUAGUUACUUAGUCUGGGUAGUCGUUGCUUUAUCAUCCAUCCUUCCCUCAAUUCUCAGACCCCUUGUCAGACUUCCAGACUUGGUCUAAAACAGCAGAUAUCCCUGUUCAGCCCAAAUGAGUGGUUUCUUCCAAAAAAGAACCCGUGAAAUGUGAUGAGAUGGAAAGGAGCAGUUAUAGGAUGUUGAGUUAUCCUAUCAGUCAUCCUUACCACCUCCAACAAGGGGUGUAGAUUUGAGAGGCAGAAAUGGAUCCUGUAGUUCUUGUGAGCAAGCACAUGGAUUGAGUUGUGCCUGUACUACUAUUAAUGUAUUUUGGUUAUGUGAGAUAGUAAAUACCCUUUUUGCUUAAGCCAUUUUGGAGAGCUAGGCUUUCCAUUUUGGCAAAAGAAAGAUUCCUGACUGAUAGAUACUGUCCCUGAGUCUUACUUAACUAUGAAAUGAAGUUCAUGAUACUACCUUGCAGGGUUUGGGGAGGAAGAGGGACAGUUAAUAUAAAGCACAGGCACAGAGUAGAUGCCCAGUAGAUAUGAUUUAAUACCAUGAAAAGUAGAAGCAAACAAGGCAAAGUAAGGUGUGUGGGAUACCUCUGGAGGCCCCUCUGUGUCCAGGGCAGGCCAGUUGAGCUGAGUUCAGUGCUCAGUGAAGGCUGGGGCCUGGCUUGGACUGUCUAGAGGUUUGCAGCUGUAAAAGAGAGCUGACUUCUUCAGUCACUGUGAGCCUGUGGCUUUUCUGCAGUAAGUGCUCCCUGACCCAGGGCAUUAUUGGCCCCAUAGGAACAAAAGAAAAGCUCUCUUUCAGGACAAAGAUGAGGCUUCUCAUUUUUUUUGUCUUUACUUUGUCUUUUUUUUUUUUUUAAGAUUUUAUUUUUAAGUAAUUUCUACACCCAGUGUGGGGUUUGAACUCACAACCCCGAAAUCAAGAGUUGCACACUUCCACAGACUGAGCCAGCCAGGCGCCCCAUGGCAGUUAUUUGUAUCUUUUUUUAAAUCAUUCCUUUUUGAAAAUAUGGAAUAUAAAUGUCAACAGACUCAACAUGGAAUGAUGACAUUUUCAUCAUUAUGAUGAUCAUCUUUCUAUUACCUUGGAAAAGUAGGAACUGUAGCUUUUAAUUUGUAAGUAUUUAGGAGCUAUAUUGGAUUUUCAAGAAAAAUGAUAAAUUUUAUACACACCAAGUUCUGCCAAGCAUCCUAGUACUCUUAUUCUCCUUUCCCAGAAAAGAAAACAAAGCUUUAAAAAGCUCCUUGGUUGAGUAUCGAAAGAAAGGAGUGGAGGUAGAGGUUGCUACAUCUCAUCUCCCCACCAUGUCCCUGAGGUAGCUUGGGUCCUGAUUGCAAAAGGGAGUAAGAAGUGGCUUUGAGGGGCGCCUGGGUGGCUCAGUCAGUAAAGCAUGCAACUCUUGAUCUUGGGGUAAUGAGUUAGAGCCCCAUGUUGGGGGUAGAGUUUACUUAAAAACAAAAGACAAAAAAAGGUGGCUUUGAAUUUUGGUUUAUUAUGUACAUAAUAGCUGUUAUUAAAGAAGCUCCUGCCUUGGUCUAAUUGCUUACAGUGAGACUAGAGCACCUACAGCCACUUUGUUUGUUUUUCAUAGCUUAUGCUAUUAAAAGUACAACUGAUUGUACACUGAAAUAUUCAGGGACCUCUGAAUAAAUCAACUAGUUAGCAAAUUCAGUAUUUUCAGACAGGGCAAUUUUUUUAAUUAUGUUAGCACCAUACAGUACAUCAUUAGUUUUUGAUGUAUGUUCCAUGAUUCAUUGUUUGCGUAUAACACCCAGUGCUCCACGCAGAAC
This is a long non-coding RNA of Zalophus californianus (California sea lion), 4446 nucleotides long. RefSeq lists it as uncharacterized. The record is from RefSeq and is a predicted model, not a curated record. NCBI's taxonomy places the organism in Eukaryota, Metazoa, Chordata, Mammalia, Carnivora, Otariidae. The transcript has 3 exons.